This 300-nucleotide long non-coding RNA is filed under the name Homo sapiens (human). RNAcentral's name for it is "non-protein coding lnc-UPRT-3:1". The record is from RNAcentral. Lineage: Eukaryota; Metazoa; Chordata; Mammalia; Primates; Hominidae.
CUGUUGCCCAUCUUCAGGAUCUACCACCAGAAAAUAUACCAUAUCGUUGACUUUGUUUAUAAGUGGAAAGUCAUAACCAGAGCACUCUAUGAAUAUUGUAUUAAAGAAGGCUAUGCAGGAAAAAACCUAAUCACAAUAUGGAAAAAGCAAGGCUAUGAGAACUUGUGCUGGCUGCUGUGCCUUCAGACAUGGAACACCAAUUUUGGGACAAACUGCAAUUGCUGUGUUCCUAAAACAAAGAUAGAAGUGGGCUGCAUCAUUGAGUGCAUGCACUGUGGCUGCCAGGGCUGCUCUAGCUGA